RNAcentral lists this unclassified non-coding RNA (336 nucleotides) under soil metagenome. RNAcentral's name for it is "partial contains 5.8S ribosomal RNA, internal transcribed spacer 2, and large subunit ribosomal RNA". The stretch from base 1 to 120 matches the Rfam family "5.8S ribosomal RNA", at positions 35 to 154 of the family's 154-position model. The record is from RNAcentral.
GAUGAAGAACGUAGCGAAAUGCGAUAAGAAAUGUGAAUUGCAGAAUUCAGUGAAUCAUCGAAUCUUUGAACGCACAUUGCGCCCGCCAGUAUUCUGGCGGGCAUGCCUGUUCGAGCGUCAUUUCAACCAUCAAGCCCCAGGCUUGUGUUGGGGACCUGCGGCUGCCGCAGGCCCUGAAAACCAGUGGCGGGCUCGCUGUCACACCGGGCGUAGUAGAUUUUAUCUCGCUCUGGGCGUGCUGCGGGUUCCGGCCGUUAAAAAACCCUUUUAACCCAAGGUUGACCUCGGAUCAGGUAGGAAUACCCGCUGAACUUAAGCAUAUCAAUAAGCGGAGGA